Molecule: ribosomal RNA, 1239 nt
Filed under: Salmonella enterica
Lineage: Bacteria; Pseudomonadati; Pseudomonadota; Gammaproteobacteria; Enterobacterales; Enterobacteriaceae
Description: partial 23S ribosomal RNA
Rfam family: Bacterial large subunit ribosomal RNA
Source: RNAcentral
AAUCCAUAGGUUAAUGAGGCGAACCGGGGGAACUGAAACAUCUAAGUACCCCGAGGAAAAGAAAUCAACCGAGAUUCCCCCAGUAGCGGCGAGCGAACGGGGAGGAGCCCAGAGCCUGAAUCAGCAUGUGUGUUAGUGGAAGCGUCUGGAAAGGCGCGCGAUACAGGGUGACAGCCCCGUACACAAAAGCGCAUGUGCUGUGAGCUCGAUGAGUAGGGCGGGACACGUGGUAUCCUGUCUGAAUAUGGGGGGACCAUCCUCCAAGGCUAAAUACUCCUGACUGACCGAUAGUGAACCAGUACCGUGAGGGAAAGGCGAAAAGAACCCCGGCGAGGGGAGUGAAAAAGAACCUGAAACCGUGUACGUACAAGCAGUGGGAGCACCCUUUGGGUGUGACUGCGUACCUUUUGUAUAAUGGGUCAGCGACUUAUAUUCUGUAGCAAGGUUAACCGAAUAGGGGAGCCGGAGGGAAACCGAGUCUUAACCGGGCGUUAAGUUGCAGGGUAUAGACCCGAAACCCGGUGAUCUAGCCAUGGGCAGGUUGAAGGUUGGGUAACACUAACUGGAGGACCGAACCGACUAAUGUUGAAAAAUUAGCGGAUGACCUGUGGCUGGGGGUGAAAGGCCAAUCAAACCGGGAGAUAGCUGGUUCUCCCCGAAAGCUAUUUAGGUAGCGCCUCGUGAAUUCAUCUCCGGGGGUAGAGCACUGUUUCGGCUAGGGGGCCAUCCCGGCUUACCAACCCGAUGCAAACUGCGAAUACCGGAGAAUGUUAUCACGGGAGACACACGGCGGGUGCUAACGUCCGUCGUGAAGAGGGAAACAACCCAGACCGCCAGCUAAGGUCCCAAAGUCAUGGUUAAGUGGGAAACGAUGUGGGAAGGCCCAGACAGCCAGGAUGUUGGCUUAGAAGCAGCCAUCAUUUAAAGAAAGCGUAAUAGCUCACUGGUCGAGUCGGCCUGCGCGGAAGAUGUAACGGGGCUAAACCAUGCACCGAAGCUGCGGCAGCGACACUGUGUGUUGUUGGGUAGGGGAGCGUUCUGUAAGCCUGUGAAGGUGUGUCGUGAGGCAUGCUGGAGGUAUCAGAAGUGCGAAUGCUGACAUAAGUAACGAUAAAGCGGGUGAAAAGCCCGCUCGCCGGAAGACCAAGGGUUCCUGUCCAACGUUAAUCGGGGCAGGGUGAGUCGACCCCUAAGGCGAGGCCGAAAGGCGUAGUCGAUGGGAAACGGGUUAAUAUUCCC